GGCUCAGAACGAACGCUGGCGGCAGGCUUAACACAUGCAAGUUGAGCGGGAUUGAUUGAUAGCUUGCUAUUGAUCAUGAGAGCAGCGCACUGGUGAGUAACACGUGGGAACAUACCUAUUGGUGGGGGACAACAGAGGGAAACUUCUGCUAAUACCGCAUAAGCCCUGAGGGGGAAAGAUUUAUUGCCGAUAGAUUGGCCCGCGGAAGAUUAGGUAGUAGGUGGGGUAACGGCCUACCUAGCCGACGAUCUAUAGCUGGUCUAAGAGGACGAUCAGCCACAUUGGAACUGAGACACGGUCCAGACUCCUACGGGAGGCAGCAGUGAGGAAUAUUGGGCAAUGGAGGCAACUCUGACCCAGCCAAUGCCGCGUGAGUGAAGAAGGUUUUCGGAUUGUAAAGCUCUUUCGGAUGAGAAGAUGAUGACGGUAUCAUCAGAAGAAGCACCGGCUAACUUCGUGCCAGCCGCCGC
Molecule: ribosomal RNA, 470 nt
Filed under: uncultured bacterium
Lineage: Bacteria
Description: bacterial SSU rRNA
Rfam family: Bacterial small subunit ribosomal RNA
Source: RNAcentral